This 250-nucleotide long non-coding RNA is filed under the name Elaeis guineensis (African oil palm). Its description in RNAcentral is "long non-coding RNA (EGUI_LNC045888)". The record is from RNAcentral. Lineage: Eukaryota; Viridiplantae; Streptophyta; Magnoliopsida; Arecales; Arecaceae.
AUACUAAACCCUCAUCAGAAGGAGUUCAUCCGGAGUCAGAGAGCAUGGAAUGGUGCCCGACGCAAAAAUCGGGCGAAGCCCAGCCCCAGAUGCGGGUGCAUCUACAGAGCGAGGGACCUGGGGGGUUGAGGCGGAAGAACUCCCGGAACCGCUGGGAGCGAAAGAGCCGGAAGACAUUUCGAAUCACUUCAAAUGAAGACUCUAAAGAUUUCGAAGAAGACGGACAGGACAGGGGACGAGAGGCCAGAGG